RNAcentral lists this transfer RNA (80 nucleotides) under Bavayia geitaina. Its description in RNAcentral is "tRNA-Ala". The record is from RNAcentral. Lineage: Eukaryota; Metazoa; Chordata; Lepidosauria; Squamata; Diplodactylidae.
CGUCGAUCUAGUGAGGCUUUAGCUUAAUUAAAGUGUUUGAGUUGCAUUCAGAAGAUGUAUAUUAAGGUUAUACAGGCCUU